UUGACUGUCAGUUGGACUGCAGCCAACCGCUCAGCCUUCUGGAGAGAUUUGCUCUGGUGUGUCAACUGCACCUACAAGUCCUUGUGGCUCUUCUCCAACAUUUGGCCAAACAUCUGUAAAUCCUCAUUCCAUCACAAGUACCAAUCCAUUUGGUGUAUCUAAUUCCCCGGUAUUUGGAACAGUAGGCACAUUUGGAGCAUCAAGCGCACCAGCUUUUGGCACUUCUCUCACUCAUGCUUUUGGAGCAUCAAAUUCUGCUUUUGGCACUUCCAAGACUCCUGUUUUUGGAGUGUCAAAUUCUGCUUUUGGCUUUUCCGACACUCCUACUUUUGGAUCAUCUUCUACUCCUUCAUUCAGCUCUGGGUCUAGCCCUGCUUUUGGCCAAUCAACACCAGCAUUUGCCAGUAGUCCUUUUGGAACAACUACAAUUGGAGCACAGAGUUCUUUUGGUGAGUAACCAAGCCUACUUGAUCAUAGACUUCGAAACUACUUGUACAGUUAGGCAGAAAUAUAUAUUUUCAUGGGCCUUACAUGAUUUAAGGUCAAGGGAGUUCGUAUACGUAUACAUAUAUAUAUAUUAUUUAAAAUUCUUUGAGUUCUCAUGUAGGACCCCAAUCUUCUGCACCAGCAUUUGGACAGUCAACUUUUGGGGCUCAACGUGGGGGAAGAAGAGUUGCUUCUUACACACCUACAAUUGACGCUGAUAGUAGCAUUGGUACACAGAUGUUCGAGUCAAUUUCAGCUAUGCCUGUUUACAAAGAUAAAAGUCAUGAGGAGCUGAGAUGGGAGGAUUAUCAAUUAGGAGAUAAAGGUACCUUUGUAAAAUAUUAAGAAAACCUGGAAGUUAUUCAUUAUUCUUUCCCAUUCAUUAUCGACUAACUUGCUGUAAUAAUUUGACUGUCAGUUGGACUGCAGCCAACCGCUCAGCCUUCUGGAGAGAUUUGCUCUGGUGUGUCAACUGCACCUACAAGUCCUUGUGGCUCUUCUCCAACAUUUGGCCAAACAUCUGUAAAUCCUCAUUCCAUCACAAGUACCAAUCCAUUUGGUGUAUCUAAUUCCCCAGUAUUUGGAACAGUAGGCACAUUUGAAGCAUCAAGCGCACCAGCUUUUGGC
RNAcentral lists this long non-coding RNA (1113 nucleotides) under Gossypium barbadense (sea-island cotton). Its description in RNAcentral is "long non-coding RNA (GBAR_LNC022065)". Lineage: Eukaryota; Viridiplantae; Streptophyta; Magnoliopsida; Malvales; Malvaceae. The record is from RNAcentral.